UUCGCCGUGUAAAGCCCCUUCGACGAGUCGAGUUGUUUGGGAAUGCAGCUCUAAAUGGGAGGUAAAUUUCUUCUAAAGCUAAAUACUGGCCAGAGACCGAUAGCGCACAAGUAGAGUGAUCGAAAGAUGAAAAGCACUUUGGAAAGAGAGUCAAAUAGCACGUGAAAUUGUUGAAAGGGAAGCGCUUGCAGCCAGACUUGCCUGUAGUUGCUUAUCCGGACUUUUGUCCGGUGCACUCUUCUGCGGGCAGGCCAGCAUCAGUUUAGGCGGUUGGAUAAAGGUCUCUAUCACGUACCUCCCUUCGGGGUAGGCCUUAUAGGGGAGACGACAUGCAACCAGCCUGAACUGAGGUCCGCGCAUCUGCUAGGAUGCUGGCGUAAUGGCUGUAAGCGGCCCGUCUUGAAACACGGACCAAGGAGUCUAACAUCUAUGCGAGUGUUUGGGUGUCAAGCCCAGACGCGUAAUGAAAGUGAACGGAGGUGGGAACCUUUUAGGUGCACCAUCGACCGAUCCUGAUGUCUUCGGAUGGAUUUGAGUAAGAGCAUGGCUGUUGGGACCCGAAAGAUGGUGAACUAUGCUUGAAUAGGGUGAAGCCAGAGGAAACUCUGGUGGAGGCUCGCAGCGGUUCUGACGUGCAAAUCGAUCGUCAAAUUUGGGCAUAGGGGCGAAAGACUAAUCGAACUAUCUAGUAGCUGGUUCCUGCCGAAGUUUCCCUCAGGAUAGCAGUAACGUAUUCAGUUUUAUGAGGUAAAGCGAAUGAUUAGAGGCCUGGGGGUUGAAACAACCUUCACCUAUUCUCAAACUUUAAAUAUGUAAGAAGUCCUUGUUACUUGAUUGAACGUGGACACUUGAAUGUACCGUUACUAGUGGGCCAUUUUUGGUAAGCAGAACUGGCGAUGCGGGAUGAACCGAACGCGGGGUUAAGGUGCCAGAAUAUACGCUCAUCAGACACC
This 953-nucleotide ribosomal RNA is filed under the name Typhicola typharum. Its description in RNAcentral is "partial 28S ribosomal RNA". It matches the Rfam family "Eukaryotic large subunit ribosomal RNA", at positions 238 to 1213 of the family's 3401-position model. The record is from RNAcentral. Lineage: Eukaryota; Fungi; Ascomycota; Dothideomycetes; Pleosporales; Pleosporaceae.